Molecule: ribosomal RNA, 247 nt
Filed under: uncultured bacterium
Lineage: Bacteria
Description: partial 16S ribosomal RNA
Rfam family: Bacterial small subunit ribosomal RNA
Source: RNAcentral
AGUAACGCGUGGGCAAUCUGCCUUAAGCAGGGGGAUAACACAGGGAAACUUGUGCUAAUACCGCAUAACGCUGCAUCGGGACAUCCCGAAGCAGCCAAAGGAGCAAUCCGGCUGAAGAGGAGCCCGCGUCUGAUUAGCUAGUUGGUGAGGUAACGGCCCACCAAGGCGACGAUCAGUAGCCGAACUGAGAGGUUGAACGGCCACAUUGGGACUGAGACACGGCCCAGACUCCUACGGGAGGCAGCAG